RNAcentral lists this ribosomal RNA (608 nucleotides) under uncultured bacterium. RNAcentral describes it as "bacterial SSU rRNA". It matches the Rfam family "Bacterial small subunit ribosomal RNA", at positions 31 to 649 of the family's 1533-position model. The record is from RNAcentral.
GAACGCUGGCGGCGUGCCUAACACAUGCAAGUCGAGCGGACCAGAAAUGGAGGUAACUUUAUUUCUGGUUAGCGGCGAACGGGUGAGUAACACGUGGGUAACCUGCCCUCAGGAGGAGGAUAACUCGGGGAAACCUGAGCUAAUACUCCAUAAGACCACGAGCUGAAAUGCUUGUGGUAAAAGAAGCAAUUCACCUGAGGAUGGGCCCGCGGCCUAUCAGGUAGUUGGUAGGGUAAUGGCCUACCAAGCCUAUGACGGGUAGCCGAGCUGAGAGGCUGGCCGGCCACACUGGGACUGAGACACGGCCCAGACUCCUACGGGGGGCAGCAGUGGGGAAUAUUGGGCAAUGGGCGAAAGCCUGACCCAGCGACGCCGCGUGGGGGAAGAAGGCCUUCGGGUUGUAAACCCCUUUUGCAGGGGACGACACAGGACGGUACCCUGCGAAUAAGCCACGGCUAACUCUGUGCCAGCAGCCGCGGUAAGACAGAGGUGGCAAGCGUUGCUCGGAUUCACUGGGCUUAAAGGGCGCGUAGGUGGUUUUGUAAGUCUAAGGUGGAAUUCCACAGCUUAACUGUGGGACUGCCUUUGAUACUGCAAGGCUUGAGUCA